AACCUUAUGGACCUGCGGGCGUAUACCUGCGGAAGGAUCAUUACAGAGUUGCAAAACUCCCUAAACCAUUGUGAACCUACCUUCUACCGUUGCUUCGGCGGGCGGGCCUAGCGCCCCCCCGGCCCCCCGCGGGCGCCCGCCGGAGGAUAACCAAACUCUUGACAUCAGUGGCCUCUCUGAGUAUUCUUUACUGAAUAAGUCAAAACUUUUAACAACGGAUCUCAGAUCGGAAGAGCACAC
RNAcentral lists this unclassified non-coding RNA (240 nucleotides) under soil metagenome. RNAcentral describes it as "partial contains 5.8S ribosomal RNA, internal transcribed spacer 2, and large subunit ribosomal RNA". The record is from RNAcentral.